This 278-nucleotide ribosomal RNA is filed under the name uncultured bacterium. Its description in RNAcentral is "partial 16S ribosomal RNA". It matches the Rfam family "Bacterial small subunit ribosomal RNA", at positions 556 to 793 of the family's 1533-position model. The record is from RNAcentral.
ACGUUAAGUACGGAAUUACGUGGGACGUAAAGCGCAUCGCGAGGCGGCCUAGUUAAGUCAGAUGUAGAAACGGCCCGGGGACCUUUAACCGUACGGUAAGUUGCUAUUUAGUAAACGUGGCGAGGCUAGAGUCUUGUAGAGGGGGUAGGAAUUUCAGGUGUAGCGGUGAAAUGCGUAGAGAUCUGAAGGAAUACCAGUGGCGAAGGCGGCCCCCUGGACAAAGACUGACGCUCAGAUGCGAAAGCGUGGGGAGCAAACAGGAUUAGAUACCCUGGUAG